UGGGGAAUAUUGGGCAAUGGGCGAAAGCCUGACCCAGCAACGCCGCGUGAGUGAUGAAGGCCUUCGGGUUGUAAAACUCUUUGGACAGGGACGAAGAAAGUGACGGUACCUGUAGAACAAGCCACGGCUAACUACGUGCCAGCAGCCGCGGUAAUACGUAGGUGGCGAGCGUUAUCCGGAAUUAUUGGGCUUAAAGGGCAUCUAGGCGGUAAGACAAGUUGAAGGUGAAAACCUGUGGCUCAACCAUAGGCUUGCCUACAAAACUGUUGAACUAGAGUACUGGAAAGGUGGGUGGAACUACACGAGUAGAGGUGAAAUUCGUAGAUAUGUGUAGGAAUGCCGAUGAUGAAGAUAACUCACUGGACAGAAACUGACGCUGAAGUGCGAAAGCUAGGGGAGCAAACAGG
This 407-nucleotide ribosomal RNA is filed under the name Verrucomicrobiota bacterium. RNAcentral describes it as "Verrucomicrobia bacterium partial 16S ribosomal RNA". It matches the Rfam family "Bacterial small subunit ribosomal RNA", at positions 355 to 776 of the family's 1533-position model. Lineage: Bacteria; Pseudomonadati; Verrucomicrobiota. The record is from RNAcentral.